GACGAACGCUGGCGGCGUGCUUAACACAUGCAAGUCGAACGGUGAAGCGCCUUCCUUUUUGGUGAGUGUGGAUGAGUGGCGAACGGGUGAGUAACACGUGAGUAACCUGCCCCCUUCUUCUGGAUAACCGCAUGAAAGUGUGGCUAAUACGGGAUAUUCUGGGUCUGUCGCAUGAUGGGUCUGGGAAAGAUAUUGUUUCGGUGGGGGAUGGGCUCGCGGCCUAUCAGCUUGUUGGUGGGGUGAUGGCCUACCAAGGCGGUGACGGGUAGCCGGCCUGAGAGGGUGGACGGUCACACUGGGACUGAGACACGGCCCAGACUCCGACGGGAGGCAGCAGUGGGGAAUAUGGCACAAUGGGCGCAAGCCUGAUGCAGCGACGCCGCGUGAGGGAUGGAGGCCUUCGGGUUGUGAACCUCUUUCGCCAGUGAAGCAGGCCUGCCUCGUUUGUGGGUGGGUUGACGGUAGCUGGAUAAGAAGCGCCGGCUAACUACGUG
Molecule: ribosomal RNA, 494 nt
Filed under: uncultured bacterium
Lineage: Bacteria
Description: partial 16S ribosomal RNA
Rfam family: Bacterial small subunit ribosomal RNA
Source: RNAcentral